UACGAGUGCCUCGAGCGUUAUCCGGAAUCAUUGGGCGUAAAGGGUGUGUAGGGUACGGUUUGGUUAGUCUCAUGUAAAAUUCUUCGGCUCAACCGGGGGCUCGCAUGAGAAACGGCCAGACUUAGAGGAUGGUAGGGGUCUUCGGAACUCAUAGUGUAGCGGUGAAAAUGCGUUGAUAUUAUGGGGAACACCAAAAGCGAAGGCAGAAGACUGGACCACUCCUGAACGCGUGAAACACGGAAAGCGUGGGUCGCGAAUGGGA
RNAcentral lists this ribosomal RNA (262 nucleotides) under uncultured bacterium. RNAcentral describes it as "partial 16S ribosomal RNA". It matches the Rfam family "Bacterial small subunit ribosomal RNA", at positions 524 to 777 of the family's 1533-position model. The record is from RNAcentral.